GGGCAGCUUGCCUUGUGGUUCACCGAACCAGAAAAAAUGGUCAGCUAAUUGAACAAUACAAAAACCAAACCACAAGCAUUGAAGGAACUACAAAACAUCCACUGGGAAGUUUCUUUUCUGUAGCUUGUUGUUUUCUUGGUUAAAGCAAGUAUGCAUAAUUCUCUGCUUAAAAAGUAAAAACCCUUCUCUCCUUACUUUUAUGAUCCCUUAUUUCCUCUAAAAUUCACACCCAAAAUAUAGCCUUUUUGUUGCUUUCUUUCUGGGUUUUGUUUGACUUGUGAGAAACUGUUCCCAUUUCCCAAAUCCAUUCGCUGUUGUUGGAUCACUUCUUGAGGCAAUGCCAGCAUGAUUGUUUGCUCUGCUAUCAAUACAUGUGUGAAGAAUGUUGUCCACCUGAGUGGCCGUGUUCAACAAAUGGGCAGCACUAUUUUGAAUGUGGUGUCUAGGGGACAAUCCACUUCCCGCUGUUUUUCUUUGUACCCUAGUCGUUCCAGAUCAAAUUAUUCUCGUUUGUCUGUCUCAAAGACAUUCUCUUGUCCAUCAAUUAGCUUUCACACGUUGCAUAGAAACUGUUUUGGAUCCGACUCAAUCAAGCAAAGGUAUAAUUUGGUAUCAUUAACUGUAAAAGGUGUAGUUAAUUCUGGAGGUCCUCUGAAGAGACAAUUCAAUAUUUCAUUGCCAAGCCAAAACAUGGCUCUGAGGUUUUCAGUUUCGAAACGAGGACUGCUCGCCAAAAUCAAGGGUAAUGUGGGAUCUGUUUCUUGUUCACAAAGACAUACCACCACUGGUAUAUUUUUUGGUCUUCUGGUUUGUUAUUCAAGUUCUGAGCCAACACAUGCUGAAUCAGCUACUCGGAAGAACAAAGAAGAGGACAUUUGCAAUUCAUCAGAUAUUAAAUUCUCACAUGGGAAGGAAGUCUACACUGACUAUUCCAUUAUUGGAGUACCAGGAGAUGGUAGAUGUCUGUUCCGUUCCGUGGCUCAUGGGGCUUGUUUACGGUUUGGGAAACGAGCUCCAAGUGAAAGCCUUCAGAGAGAAUUAGCAGAUGACUUGCGUUCUAAAGUUGCUGAUGAGUUUAUCAAGAGAAGGGAAGAUACAGAAUGGUUUAUAGAAGGCAAUUUUGACUCCUAUGUGUCACAAAUGAGGAAGCCACAUGUGUGGGGUGGUGAGCCUGAGUUGUUAAUGGCUUCACAUGUUCUCAAGUAAGGACCUCUCUCUCGAUGUGUUCAUCUCUUAUCAGGAAAAACAGAAGCUGUGCAUGGGGAAGAAAAGAUGCCAAUCACUGUGUACAUGCACGACAAGAAUGCGAGGGGCUUGAUAUCCAUUGCAGAGUAUGGUCAGGAGUAUGGGGUGGAAAAUCCAAUUAGAGUUAUAUAUAAUGGAUUUGGUCAUUAUGAUGCCUUGCAAUUUUCCUGGAACCAGAGGCGGUAAAUCAAAACUUUAGCUGUGCUUUUUAACUGAAACUGGAAUGAAAAUCAUGAUAUAUGAAUGCAAUUGUAUCGUUUUAUGUUA
RNA transcript from Populus trichocarpa (black cottonwood), 1512 nucleotides. It is a transcript of the gene named OVARIAN TUMOR DOMAIN-containing deubiquitinating enzyme 4, with no coding region annotated. NCBI's taxonomy places the organism in Eukaryota, Viridiplantae, Streptophyta, Magnoliopsida, Malpighiales, Salicaceae. The record is from RefSeq and is a predicted model, not a curated record. The transcript has 6 exons.